RNAcentral lists this ribosomal RNA (253 nucleotides) under uncultured bacterium. Its description in RNAcentral is "partial 16S ribosomal RNA". It matches the Rfam family "Bacterial small subunit ribosomal RNA", at positions 524 to 776 of the family's 1533-position model. The record is from RNAcentral.
UACGAAGGGGGCUAGCGUUGCUCGGAAUCACUGGGCGUAAAGCGCGUGUAGGCGGCCCACUAAGUCUGAUGUGAAAGCCCGGGGCUCACCCCCGGAAGUGCAUUGGAAACUGGUGGACUCGAGUCCCGGAGAGGAGGGUGGAAUUCCUGGUGUAGCGGUGAAAUGCGUAGAUAUCAGGAGGAACACCGGUGGCGAAGGCGGAUCUCUGGGCCAUUACUGACGCUGAGGAGCGAAAGCGUGGGGAGCGAACAGG